Molecule: ribosomal RNA, 496 nt
Filed under: uncultured bacterium
Lineage: Bacteria
Description: partial 16S ribosomal RNA
Rfam family: Bacterial small subunit ribosomal RNA
Source: RNAcentral
AUGAACGCUGGCGGCGUGCCUAAUACAUGCAAGUCGAGCGAACAGACGAGGAGCUUGCUCCUCUGACGUUAGCGGCGGACGGGUGAGUAACACGUGGAUAACCUACCUAUAAGACUGGGAUAACUUCGGGAAACCGGAGCUAAUACCGGAUAAUAUAUUGAACCGCAUGGUUCAAUAGUGAAAGACGGUUUUGCUGUCACUUAUAGAUGGAUCCGCGCCGCAUUAGCUAGUUGGUAAGGUAACGGCUUACCAAGGCAACGAUGCGUAGCCGACCUGAGAGGGUGAUCGGCCACACUGGAACUGAGACACGGUCCAGACUCCUACGGGAGGCAGCAGUAGGGAAUCUUCCGCAAUGGGCGAAAGCCUGACGGAGCAACGCCGCGUGAGUGAUGAAGGUCUUCGGAUCGUAAAACUCUGUUAUUAGGGAAGAACAAAUGUGUAAGUAACUAUGCACGUCUUGACGGUACCUAAUCAGAAAGCCACGGUUAACUACGUG